Molecule: long non-coding RNA, 442 nt
Filed under: Vitis vinifera (wine grape)
Lineage: Eukaryota; Viridiplantae; Streptophyta; Magnoliopsida; Vitales; Vitaceae
Description: long non-coding RNA (VVIN_LNC001657)
Source: RNAcentral
AUGCCCUUGCAAACACUGGGAUUGAAGUUGUAGUUGGUGUCACCAAUGAGGAAGUCCUAGGAAUCGGACAAUCUCCAUCGACAGCGGCCACCUGGAUUAAUAGAAAUGUUGCAGCAUAUGUGCCUUCAACCAAUAUAACAGCCAUUGCUGUUGGCAGUGAGGUUCUUACUUCAAUCCCUCAUGCUGCCCCUGUUUUGGUUCCUGCCAUGAAUUACCUCCAUAAAGCCCUAGUUGCGUCAAACCUAAAUUUUCAGAUAAAAGUUUCAGCUCCACAAUCCUUGGAUAUAAUUCCUAGGCCUUUCCCUCCUUCCACUGCCACCUUCAAUUCAACAUGGAACUCUACGAUUUAUCAGAUGCUUCAGUUUUUAAAGAACACAAAUUCCUAUUUUAUGUUGAAUGCCUAUCCUUAUUAUGGAUACACCAAUGGAGAUGGGAUUUUCCC